GACGAGGUUGAUAGGUUCGAGGUGGAAGCGCAGCAAUGCGUGGAGCUGACGAAUACUAAUCGGUCGAGGGCUUAUCCAAAA
RNAcentral lists this ribosomal RNA (81 nucleotides) under Gordoniibacillus kamchatkensis. RNAcentral's name for it is "Paenibacillus sp. VKM B-2647 partial 23S ribosomal RNA". It matches the Rfam family "Bacterial large subunit ribosomal RNA", at positions 2846 to 2925 of the family's 2925-position model. The record is from RNAcentral. Lineage: Bacteria; Bacillati; Bacillota; Bacilli; Caryophanales; Paenibacillaceae.